UACGUAGGUCGCAAGCGUUAUCCGGAAUUAUUGGGCGUAAAGCGCGCGCAGGCGGUUUUUUAAGUCUGAUGUGAAAGGCCACGGCUCAACCGUUGUGAGUCAUUGGAAACAGGAAAACUUGAGUGCAGAAGAGGAGAGUGGAAUUCUAUGUGUAGCGGUGAAAUGCGCAGAGAUAUGGAGGAACACCAGUGGCGAAGGCGACUUUCUGGUCUGUAACUGACGCUGAUGUGCGAAAGCGUGGGGAUCAAACAGG
This 253-nucleotide ribosomal RNA is filed under the name uncultured bacterium. RNAcentral describes it as "partial 16S ribosomal RNA". It matches the Rfam family "Bacterial small subunit ribosomal RNA", at positions 524 to 776 of the family's 1533-position model. The record is from RNAcentral.